Molecule: small nuclear RNA, 192 nt
Filed under: Leptobrachium leishanense (Leishan spiny toad)
Lineage: Eukaryota; Metazoa; Chordata; Amphibia; Anura; Megophryidae
Description: U2 spliceosomal RNA (ENSLLEG00000016774.1)
Rfam family: U2 spliceosomal RNA
About the family: U2 is a small nuclear RNA (snRNA) component of the spliceosome (involved in pre-mRNA splicing).
Source: Rfam by way of RNAcentral
AUACCCUUCUCGGCCUUUUGGCUAAGAUCAAGUGUAGUAUCUGUUCUUAUCAGUUUAAUAUCUGAUACGCCCCCUAUCUGGGGGCCAUAUAUUAAAUGGAGUUUUAGAAAAGGGAGAUGGAAGAAGAGCUUGCUCUGUCCACUCCACGCAUUGACCUGGUAUUGCAGUACCUCCAGGACCGGUGCACCAAAA